UCUUGGGAUCUGUCAACAGCCUGGAUUCUAAGGAGGCAUCAUCAGCAAAACUCUUCAUUGCCACAAGUAACUGACAGUAAUUUCCACACAGCCAGCAUAAAAAUGCAAAAUUGCUGUCAACAGCAGCUGAUUGCAGUCCAAUCCUGUGCCAAAUUGGAGGAGGCACAGGCAGUGCUUCCCCGUUGAUUUUAAUGUAGGAAACAGCUGCAAUAAACUUUGGCCUUGAUGCGAAGGAUAAGAUCAUCCUUUCCCUACAAGUCCCCACAAGGAGUAUCAUGUCAGCUUUUAGGCAUCAAAUCCAGGAUGAUCUUGAAGAAACAGAAGAAAUUGACAGAAGUUUUGAUUCAUCUGACAACAGUGAAUUUAAAGAUCAAGUUGGCGCUGUGCUUGGCCAUGCGGGGAAUGGAACAAAGGACUGCGCACAUAACACUGAGGGGCAUCAGUGUUGAGAGUGGAGGAAACAUUACGACUAUUUCUAAUCAUCUGAUGUCUGCAAGUCAUGUAGUUUAGAUGCCAGCUAUAGGCCAAGAUUCAGGAGUUUGGAGAUUAGCUUAUUUGGUAUCAUGGUGUUGAAUGCUGAGCUGCAGUCAACAAAUAGCAUCUGACAUAACUGUUCAUAUUGUCAGGGUGACAUGCCACAUUCAACAUAAUUCCACGACUAAACUUAUCUUUCCUCUACCCUUUCAGCUUUUCAAUGAACCCUAUAACUCAGCAAUCACUGUUGUUCUGUCGUCCGAGACAUUAUUAUUAAUAUUUGCAAUUUAUGGCAGUAAACUUUGUACUUGAAUGAUCUUGUGGAAUGGUUUUGGCUUGUCUGAUAUUACACUGUGAGUUUGAAGUUUUGGAAAAACUCAGCAUGCUUUGACCUUUGAAAGUAAUGUGUUAUUAACAUCAUCUGCCAGUCACCGAAAGUGUUUUCAGCAGAAUGAAACUUCCUUCUGUUUGGAAGGGAAAAAUAUAAAAAAAGGGACUUUGCUAUAUAUUUAAAGUGCUUAUUUAUUCUAAUUUUUAGAGGUUUGGGGGCUCAAGGGCAUAUAUUGCCUGAACCUCAAUAGCUCCCCAAAGCUAUCUAUUAUUUAUGUAUUCAGCAUGUGUGGUAAUGAUGACAUGGAAACCUGGCUUGUUAUUUUGACUCUGCUAUAGUCAUUCAAGCACAGCACCAAGUGCACUCAAACAGUGGCACUAUUAUGAUAUCAUACCUGGUCCCUGCCAGUACUAGUCACACAGUUAACGUUAAAAACAACAUAUUUUUCCUGGACUUUUUGUUACCUGUGUUUUCUAUUCAAUUUUUGAUGUGAUUAUUGCUAGUGAUUUUAUUUUUUACCAAACUCUACGAUGCCCAUUAUUUUUAAACAGAUUUUAUCUCACAGUCCAGAGUCCAAGGAACAGUAGUAAAAUAAAUGUGAUAUUAGGAAGCAUCUGUAAGAAAAAUCAUUAAAAUUACCAUGCAAAAUCUUUCAUAGCCGCAUAUUAAGAGUCAAAAGUCAAAGUGCUUUAUUGUCCUUGAAAUUCUUACUUGCUGCAGCACCACAAAUAUGUAAAGAAAAAACUCCGUAAACACCACAAUAAACAACAAAAGAGAAGUUAUAAAAGUUUAAAGUUAUAUCAAAAAGCAAGAAAACAAUAAUAGUGCAUAGACAAAAACAAUCAAGUCUAUGCAGUUCGGAACUUAGUUGGAGGUGUUAGUGUUUACUAGCCUAACGGUUGUU
Leucoraja erinaceus (little skate) is the source of this 1709-nucleotide long non-coding RNA. RefSeq lists it as uncharacterized. NCBI's taxonomy places the organism in Eukaryota, Metazoa, Chordata, Chondrichthyes, Rajiformes, Rajidae. The record is from RefSeq and is a predicted model, not a curated record. The transcript is spliced from 4 exons.